UAGGGAAUUUUCGUCAAUGGGGGGAACCCUGAACGAGCAAUGCCGCGUGAGCGAAGAAGGUCUUCGGAUCGUAAAGCUCUGUUGUAAGAGAAAAACGAGCGCCAUAGGGAAUGAUGGCGGAGUGAUGGUAUCUUACCAGAAAGCCACGGCUAACUACGUGCCAGCAGCCGCGGUAAUACGUAGGUGGCGAGCGUUAUCCGGAAUCAUUGGGCGUAAAGGGUGCGUAGGUGGCACGAUAAGUCUGUAGUAAAAGGCAGCGGCUCAACCGCUGUUGGCUAUGGAAACUGUCGAGCUGGAGUGCAGAAGAGGGCGAUGGAAUUCCAUGUGUAGCGGUAAAAUGCGUAGAUAUAUGGAGGAACACCAGUGGCGAAGGCGGCCGCCUGGUCUGCAACUGACACUGAAGCACGAAAGCGUGGGGAGCAAAUA
RNAcentral lists this ribosomal RNA (426 nucleotides) under uncultured bacterium. Its description in RNAcentral is "bacterial SSU rRNA". It matches the Rfam family "Bacterial small subunit ribosomal RNA", at positions 355 to 774 of the family's 1533-position model. The record is from RNAcentral.